AGUCAGUAUUAGUAUAGUGGUUUGAACAUUGGACUAUGACUCUGGAGACCAGGGUUCAAAUCCCUGCUUGGCUA
Molecule: transfer RNA, 74 nt
Filed under: Phrynosoma platyrhinos (Desert horned lizard)
Lineage: Eukaryota; Metazoa; Chordata; Lepidosauria; Squamata; Phrynosomatidae
Description: tRNA-OTHER
Rfam family: tRNA (bases 11-74)
About the family: Transfer RNA (tRNA) molecules are approximately 80 nucleotides in length. Their secondary structure includes four short double-helical elements and three loops (D, anti-codon, and T loops).
Source: RNAcentral